GACGAACGCUGGCGGCGUGCUUAACACAUGCAAGUCGAACGGAAAGGCCCUGCUUUUGUGGGGUGCUCGAGUGGCGAACGGGUGAGUAACACGUGAGUAACCUGCCCUUGACUUUGGGAUAACUUCAGUAAACUGGGGCUCAUACCGGAUAUGAGCUCCUUCUGCAUGGUGGUGGUUGUAAAGUUUCGGCGGUUGGGGAUGGACUCGCGGCUUAUCAGCUUGUUGGUGGGGUAGUGGCUUACCAAGGCUUUGACGGGUAGCCGGACUGAGAGGGUGACCGGCCACAUUGGGACUGAGAUACGGCCCAGACUCCUACGGGAGGCAGCAGUGGGGAAUAGUGCACAAUGGGCGGAAGCCAGAUGCAGCAACGCCGCGUGCGGGAUGACGGCCUUCGGGUUGUAAACCGCUUGCGCCUGUGACGAAGCGUGAGUGACGGUAAUGGGUAAAGAAGCACCGGCUAACUACGUG
RNAcentral lists this ribosomal RNA (468 nucleotides) under uncultured bacterium. Its description in RNAcentral is "partial 16S ribosomal RNA". It matches the Rfam family "Bacterial small subunit ribosomal RNA", at positions 28 to 507 of the family's 1533-position model. The record is from RNAcentral.